RNAcentral lists this transfer RNA (709 nucleotides) under uncultured cyanobacterium. Its description in RNAcentral is "partial miscellaneous RNA". The stretch from base 262 to 334 matches the Rfam family "tRNA". The record is from RNAcentral. Lineage: Bacteria; Bacillati; Cyanobacteriota.
CAGGGAGACAAAACUGAUUUUGAUGCCUAAAUCAAUUAAAUUUUAGGCCAUAAUCCUGUCACCUUAGGUCGAUCGGUACCUCAAAUUUGAAAUUUCUAGAGAUUGAUUUUUCAGUUUUUAGAUUGAUUAAUUUUCAGUUCCUAAACUUGUCUAGGUCACACCCACGAUGGGUACUCCUGGGCCAUUAGCUCAGGUGGUUAGAGCGCACCCCUGAUAAGGGUGAGGUCCCUGGUUCAAGUCCAGGAUGGCCCAUUCGAUUUUGGGGGUAUAGCUCAGUUGGUAGAGCGCCUGCUUUGCAAGCAGGAUGUCAGCGGUUCGAGUCCGCUUACCUCCACUGAUCGACCUCCUGAGGAUGAAUGCAGGAUAUCUUUAAUAUGGAUGUGAUUUAGACUUGUUCUUGUUGGAGGAACCUAGCUUCCUAUCAUUCCUGAUUUAACUAAUUUUUUAAAUUUGGUUGAUAAGAUGCUGGGCUCACUGUAAUUAGAUAAUUACAGUGAAAUUCAGCAGAACCUUGACAACUGCAUAGGUGAGUCUGGAAAAGAAUAAAGCAUCUCAUGGAUGCAUUAUCUUUUUAGCUUGAAUGAUUUAUUUGCUAACGCAAGUAAUUGUUUGGCUAAAUUUUUAAUGUUUAAUUCUUGAGCAAGAGCCGAGACUCUGUUAACUGAUUUCAAUGUAUUUAUUUCAUUGAAAUUAAAUUACAGAGAUAAAU